RNAcentral lists this ribosomal RNA (1057 nucleotides) under human gut metagenome. RNAcentral's name for it is "bacterial SSU rRNA". It matches the Rfam family "Bacterial small subunit ribosomal RNA", at positions 8 to 1057 of the family's 1533-position model. The record is from RNAcentral.
AGAGUUUGAUCCUGGCUCAGGAUGAACGCUGGCGGCAUGCCUAAUACAUGCAAGUCGAACGAAGUCUUCAGGAAGCUUGCUUCCAAAAAGACUUAGUGGCGAACGGGUGAGUAACACGUAGGUAACCUGCCCAUGUGUCCGGGAUAACUGCUGGAAACGGUAGCUAAAACCGGAUAGGUAUACGGAGCGCAUGCUCUGUAUAUUAAAGCGCCCUUCAAGGCGUGAACAUGGAUGGACCUGCGACGCAUUAGCUAGUUGGUGAGGUAACGGCCCACCAAGGCGAUGAUGCGUAGCCGGCCUGAGAGGGUAAACGGCCACAUUGGGACUGAGACACGGCCCAAACUCCUACGGGAGGCAGCAGUAGGGAAUUUUCGUCAAUGGGGGAAACCCUGAACGAGCAAUGCCGCGUGAGUGAAGAAGGUCUUCGGAUCGUAAAGCUCUGUUGUAAGUGAAGAACGGCUCAUAGAGGAAAUGCUAUGGGAGUGACGGUAGCUUACCAGAAAGCCACGGCUAACUACGUGCCAGCAGCCGCGGUAAUACGUAGGUGGCAAGCGUUAUCCGGAAUCAUUGGGCGUAAAGGGUGCGUAGGUGGCGUACUAAGUCUGUAGUAAAAGGCAAUGGCUCAACCAUUGUAAGCUAUGGAAACUGGUAUGCUGGAGUGCAGAAGAGGGCGAUGGAAUUCCAUGUGUAGCGGUAAAAUGCGUAGAUAUAUGGAGGAACACCAGUGGCGAAGGCGGUCUCCUGGUCUGUAACUGACACUGAGGCACGAAAGCGUGGGGGAGCAAAUACGAUUAGAUACCCUAGUAGUCCACGCCGUAAACGAUGAGAACUAAGUGUUGGAGAAAUUCACUGCUGCAGUUAACGCAAUAAGUUCUCCGGCUGGGGAGUAUGCAGCAAGUGUGAACUCAAGGAAUUGACGGGGGCCCGCACAAUCGCCGGAGGAUGUGGCCUACUUCGAAUCAACGCGAAGAGGCUUACCACGCCUUGACGUGAACACUAAUACUCUACAGAUUGCCGGACGAUCAUGGAUCACACAGGUGGUGCAUGGGAGUCGUCA